This 514-nucleotide ribosomal RNA is filed under the name uncultured bacterium. RNAcentral describes it as "partial 16S ribosomal RNA". It matches the Rfam family "Bacterial small subunit ribosomal RNA", at positions 28 to 523 of the family's 1533-position model. The record is from RNAcentral.
GAUGAACGCUGGCGGCGUGCCUAAUACAUGCAAGUCGAGCGAACAGAUGAGAAGCUUGCUUCUCUGAUGUUAGCGGCGGACGGGUGAGUAACACGUGGGUAACCUACCUAUAAGACUGGGAUAACUCCGGGAAACCGGGGCUAAUACCGGAUAAUAUUUUGAACCGCAUGGUUCAAUAGUGAAAGACGGUUUCGGCUGUCACUUAUAGAUGGACCCGCGCCGUAUUAGCUAGUUGGUAAGGUAACGGCUUACCAAGGCGACGAUACGUAGCCGACCUGAGGGGGUGGUCGGCCACGCUGGAACUGAGACACGGUCCAGACUCCUACGGGAGGCAGCAGUAGGGAAUCUUCCGCAAUGGGCGGAAGCCUGACGGAGCAACGCCGCGUGGGUGAUGAAGGUCUUCGGAUCGUAAAACUCUGUUGUUAGGAAAGAACGAAUUUGUUAGUAACUGAACAAGUCUUGACGGUACCUAACCAGAAAGCCACGGCUAACUACGUGCCAGCCGCCGCUGUAA